GACGAACGCUGGUGGCGUGCUUAACACAUGCAAGUCGAACGGGAUUUAGUAAACAGCAGCCUCGGUGGAAGAUUACUAAUGAGAGUGGCGAACGGGUGAGUAACGCGUGAGCAACCUGCCUAUGACAGUGGGAUAGCCUCGGGAAACCGGGAUUAAUACCGCAUAAAAUCGUAGAAACACAUGUUUUAACGGUCAAAGAUUUAUCGGUCAUAGAUGGGCUCGCGUCUGAUUAGCUAGUUGGUGAGAUAACAGCCCACCAAGGCGACGAUCAGUUGCCGGUCUGAGAGGAUGAACGGCCACAUUGGAACUGAGACACGGUCCAAACUCCUACGGGAGGCAGCAGUGGGGAAUAUUGCACAAUGGGGGAAACCCUGAUGCAGCGACGCCGCGUGAACGAAGAAGGUAUUCGUAUCGUAAAGUUCUGUCCUAUGGGAAGAUAAUGACAGUACCAUAGAAGAAAGCUCCGGCUAAAUACGUG
RNAcentral lists this ribosomal RNA (478 nucleotides) under uncultured bacterium. RNAcentral describes it as "partial 16S ribosomal RNA". It matches the Rfam family "Bacterial small subunit ribosomal RNA", at positions 28 to 507 of the family's 1533-position model. The record is from RNAcentral.